ACAUAGGCUUUUUUAAAAGCCAUUUUCCUACAACAUUAUUUUUAAG
This is a non-coding RNA of Haliaeetus albicilla (white-tailed eagle), 46 nucleotides long. The record is from Rfam. Lineage: Eukaryota; Metazoa; Chordata; Aves; Accipitriformes; Accipitridae.